Long non-coding RNA from Neopelma chrysocephalum (saffron-crested tyrant-manakin), 825 nucleotides. RefSeq lists it as uncharacterized. The record is from RefSeq and is a predicted model, not a curated record. The transcript has 3 exons. Lineage: Eukaryota; Metazoa; Chordata; Aves; Passeriformes; Pipridae.
UGGUGGGCUGGUGCAUGUCCUAGCAGCAGGGCUCCCCUGUGUCCCGGGGAGGUGUUUCCCCUGCUCGUUCCCUCGGGCCCAACACAUCUGCCUCCUCAGGGAGCUGCCCCCUUCCAGGUCCUGCUGAGGAGGGAACUCUCAAACCUGCCACCUGCUCAGGGACCGGGGAGUGCUGUGGGCCACCCUACUCUCUCCUUGCCUCAGGCACGGCCCUGUUCUCUGAAGGGAGCCAGGCGCAGGCGGCGCUGCCUUAGCGAUGGAAAGCAGGCAUUUCACUGUUGAUGUUCCCCAGUCCUGCCGGCUGACGGUUACUAGGGGAUCCUGAAGGAUGUGUUUUCCUGUGACCCUUUGAGAAGAAAAACUUAGUUGCCUCAGUAACCAAGUUUGGCUUGGAUGCAAUGAUGCAGUAAAUAGCAUAGUUUUCUUCCAGAGUUGUGUCUUUUCUAAAACACUGGUAUUCUGAAGAAAAAAUGGGCUGCUGUACACAAGACUGAUUCUGUUCCCAGCCUGAGGAUCAACAGAGAACUGAGCUGUCAAGCUUACAGAUGCAUCAGGAGUGAGGGGACAGCGAGUGUGUCAGUGCAGGCCACGCAGCAGAUAGGUAUGCAUCCAGUCGAUGGAUGAGGCUAUGUGUGUACAUUUCAUUAAGGGAACAAAAGUAACUGGAGCAAACUGUGCAGCUAAUGCUUUUACUCCUUUGAAUUAUUGUCAAGGAGGUAUUGGUAUAAAUAAACAUCCCUUCAGCUUAUUUCACCUCUGAAAGCUACUCACUGUUUUAAUUAAAGGACAUUCAAGGAUGAAUAAUGAAUGUUACUAUUUCUACAU